Molecule: ribosomal RNA, 532 nt
Filed under: uncultured bacterium
Lineage: Bacteria
Description: partial 16S ribosomal RNA
Rfam family: Bacterial small subunit ribosomal RNA
Source: RNAcentral
UGGGGAAUAUUGCACAAUGGGCGAAAGCCUGAUGCAGCAACGCCGCGUGAGUGAUGAAGGCCUUCGGGUUGUAAAGCUCUGUCUUUUGGGACGAUAAUGACGGUACCAAAGGAGGAAGCCACGGCUAACUACGUGCCAGCAGCCGCGGUAAUACGUAGGUGGCAAGCGUUGUCCGGAUUUACUGGGCGUAAAGGAUGCGUAGGCGGAUUUUUAAGUGAGAUGUGAAAUACCCGGGCUUAACUUGGGUGCUGCAUUUCAAACUGGGAAUCUAGAGUGCGGGAGAGGAGAAUGGAAUUCCUAGUGUAGCGGUGAAAUGCGUAGAGAUUAGGAAGAACACCAGUGGCGAAGGCGAUUCUCUGGACCGUAACUGACGCUGAGGCAUGAAAGCGUGGGUAGCAAACAGGAUUAGAUACACUGGUAGUCCACGCCGUAAACGAUGAGUACUAGGUGUAGGAGGUAUCGACCCCUUCUGUGCCGCAGUUAACACAAUAAGUACUCCGCCUGGGAAGUACGAUCGCAAGAUUAAAAACUC